UCAGAUUGAACGCUGGCGGCAGGCCUAACACAUGCAAGUCGAACGGAAACAUGUCUAGCUUGCUAGAUGAUGUCGAGUGGCGGACGGGUGAGUAAUGCUUGGGAACUUGCCUUUGCGAGGGGGAUAACAGUUGGAAACGACUGCUAAUACCGCAUAAUGUUUACGGACCAAAGGGGGCUUCGGCUCUCGCGUWAAGAGCAACCCAAGCGAGAUUAGCUAGUUGGUGAGGUAA
This 232-nucleotide ribosomal RNA is filed under the name uncultured gamma proteobacterium CHAB-IV-28. Its description in RNAcentral is "partial 16S ribosomal RNA". It matches the Rfam family "Bacterial small subunit ribosomal RNA", at positions 24 to 260 of the family's 1533-position model. Lineage: Bacteria; Pseudomonadati; Pseudomonadota; Gammaproteobacteria. The record is from RNAcentral.